GACGGAGGAUGCAAGCGUUAUCCGGAAUGAUUGGGCGUAAAGCGUCCGCAGGUGGCAGUUCAAGUCUGCUGUCAAAGACCGGGGCUUAACUUCGGAAAGGCAGUGGAAACUGAACAGCUAGAGUAUGGUAGGGGCAGAGGGAAUUCCUGGUGUAGCGGUGAAAUGCGUAGAGAUCAGGAAGAACAUCGGUGGCGAAGGCGCUCUGCUGGACCAUAACUGACACUCAGGGCCGAAAGCUAGGGGAGCGAAUGGG
Molecule: ribosomal RNA, 253 nt
Filed under: uncultured bacterium
Lineage: Bacteria
Description: partial 16S ribosomal RNA
Rfam family: Bacterial small subunit ribosomal RNA
Source: RNAcentral